Molecule: ribosomal RNA, 398 nt
Filed under: uncultured bacterium
Lineage: Bacteria
Description: bacterial SSU rRNA
Rfam family: Bacterial small subunit ribosomal RNA
Source: RNAcentral
AUUGAACGCUGGCGGCAUGCCUUACACAUGCAAGUCGAACGGUAACGCGGGGCAACCUGGCGACGAGUGGCGAACGGGUGAGUAAUACAUCGGAACGUGCCCAGUAGUGGGGGAUAGCCCGGCGAAAGCCGGAUUAAUACCGCAUACGACCUACGGGUGAAAGCAGGGGAUCGCAAGACCUUGCGCUAUUGGAGCGGCCGAUGUCAGAUUAGGUUGUUGGUGGGGGUAAAAAGCCUACCAAGCCGACGAUCUGUAGCUGGUCUGAGAGGACGACCAGCCACACUGGGACUGAGACACGGCCCAGACUCCUACGGGAGGCAGCAGUGGGGAAUUUUGGACAAUGGGCGCAAGCCUGAUCCAGCCAUGCCGCGUGCGGGAAGAAGGCCUGGUGUAACGAC